This is a non-coding RNA of Ictalurus punctatus (channel catfish), 862 nucleotides long. NCBI's taxonomy places the organism in Eukaryota, Metazoa, Chordata, Actinopteri, Siluriformes, Ictaluridae. The record is from the annotation of a RefSeq genome assembly.
AUGUUUGCUUCAGCUCCACUGCUGCUGCUGGCUCUCACCCCCUAUGUACAUGGCAUCAGUCUGACCUUGUCUCCUGCUGAGGUUAAACCUCCGGUAGCCUCAGUGAAGUUGUCCUGUCAGAUUCCUGGGUAUGCCCUCACUAGCUACGGCACAAGCGGGAUCGGACAGCCUCCAGGAAAAGGCUUGGAGUGGAUCGGGAUCAUAUGGGGUGGUGGAAGCAUAAACUCUGGAGCUUCCUUUAAAACUCGCUUCAACAUCUCCAGAGACACGAGCAACAAUGUGCUUUACGUAGAUAUCAGCAGCCUGUUGCCAGAAGACACGGCUGUUUAUUACUGUGUAAAGACACACAGCUGUACACCUCACUGGGGACUGAACAAAAAUUAAACCUCACAUAUGUGUAAAGUUAAUUUUAAGUUAAAACCUAAAAAGUACAAUUUAUGGAAAUCCAUCACAUCCUAUAUACAUAAAGAAAUAUUAAAUGAUUAUAGAGAAGAUUAAAGCACAGUAAAUAAUGAAUAGAUAGAAACAUCCGAUCAAACAUUUCACUAGUAGUGCAAAUUAUUUAGCUUUUUCACAGAAAAUGAAAUUUUCCUGAAUGUUUGACUGUACAUAUUUACAUUUAGGUUUUGUAUACUUAUAUAUCUGCACAUUAUGAUUUCCAUUAUGCUUUAAGUCCUCUGAGAGGCACUCUUUCUCUACUUACACAACAUCCACUCAACAUGUUGAGGUUAAAAAAACUGAGAGAUUAAAAGGACUGAGAGAGGACUGAUGUCCUCCUGGGAUUUCCAUCACCGUCAUAAAAUGUAUUUACAACAUUAAUUAAAAACUAAGACAUUACAGAUCUGUUAUAACCAUGUCUUAA